AUUGAACGCUGGCGGCAGGCCUAACACAUGCAAGUCGAGCGGAUGAAGGGAGCUUGCUCCUGGAUUCAGCGGCGGACGGGUGAGUAAUGCCUAGGAAUCUGCCUGGUAGUGGGGGAUAACGUCCGGAAACGGGCGCUAAUACCGCAUACGUCCUGAGGGAGAAAGUGGGGGAUCUUCGGACCUCACGCUAUCAGAUGAGCCUAGGUCGGAUUAGCUAGUUGGUGGGGUAAAGGCCUACCAAGGCGACGAUCCGUAACUGGUCUGAGAGGAUGAUCAGUCACACUGGAACUGAGACACGGUCCAGACUCCUACGGGAGGCAGCAGUGGGGAAUAUUGGACAAUGGGCGAAAGCCUGAUCCAGCCAUGCCGCGUGUGUGAAGAAGGUCUUCGGAUUGUAAAGCACUUUAAGUCGGGAGGAAGGGCAAUAAGUUAAUACCUUGCUGUUUUGACGUUACCAACAGAAUAAGCACCGGCUAACUUCGUG
RNAcentral lists this ribosomal RNA (484 nucleotides) under uncultured bacterium. Its description in RNAcentral is "partial 16S ribosomal RNA". It matches the Rfam family "Bacterial small subunit ribosomal RNA", at positions 30 to 507 of the family's 1533-position model. The record is from RNAcentral.